Triticum urartu is the source of this 135-nucleotide non-coding RNA. Lineage: Eukaryota; Viridiplantae; Streptophyta; Magnoliopsida; Poales; Poaceae. The record is from Rfam.
UUACUACUCCCUUCAUUUCAAAAUUCUUGUCUUAUAUUUGUCUAAAUACGGAUGUAUCAAGUCAUGUUUUAGUAUUAGAUACAUUCUUAUCUAGACUAAUUUAAGACAAGAAUUUUGAGACGGAGUGAGUACUAG